UGGUGGGUAGUUUGACUGGGGCGGUCUCCUCCUAAAGAGUAACGGAGGAGCACGAAGGUUGGCUAAUCCUGGUCGGACAUCAGGAGGUUAGUGCAAUGGCAUAAGCCAGCUUGACUGCGAGCGUGACGGCGCGAGCAGGUGCGAAAGCAGGUCAUAGUGAUCCGGUGGUUCUGAAUGGAAGGGCCAUCGCUCAACGGAUAAAAGGUACUCCGGGGAUAACAGGCUGAUACCGCCCAAGAGUUCAUAUCGACGGCGGUGUUUGGCACCUCGAUGUCGGCUCAUCACAUCCUGGGGCUGAAGUAGGUCCCAAGGGUAUGGCUGUUCGCCAUUUAAAGUGGUACGCGAGCUGGGUUUAGAACGUCGUGAGACAGUUCGGUCCCUAUCUGCCGUGGGCGCUGGAGAACUGAGGGGGGCUGCUCCUAGUACGAGAGGACCGGAGUGGACGCAUCACUGGUGUUCGGGUUGUCAUGCCAAUGGCACUGCCCGGUAGCUAAAUGCGGAAGAGAUAAGUGCUGAAAGCAUCUAAGCACGAAACUUGCCCCGAGAUGAGUUCUCCCUGACUCCUUGAGAGUCCUGAAGGAACGUUGAAGACGACGACGUUGAUAGGCCGGGUGUGUAAGCGCAGCGAUGC
RNAcentral lists this ribosomal RNA (631 nucleotides) under Escherichia coli. RNAcentral's name for it is "partial 23S ribosomal RNA". It matches the Rfam family "Bacterial large subunit ribosomal RNA", at positions 2259 to 2884 of the family's 2925-position model. The record is from RNAcentral. Lineage: Bacteria; Pseudomonadati; Pseudomonadota; Gammaproteobacteria; Enterobacterales; Enterobacteriaceae.